AGAGCAAAAGCCAUGAAGUCAAAGGAAUUGUCUGUAGAGCGCUGAGACAGGAUUGUGUCGAGGUACAGACCUGGGGAAGGUUAACAAAAUAUUUUUUGAAGGUCCCCAAGAAAACCGUGGCCUCCAUCAUUCUUAAAUGGAAGACGUUUGGAACCACCAAGACUCUUCCUAGAGCUGGCCUCCCGGGCCAAACUGAAUAAUUAGGGGAGAAGGGCCUUGGUCAGGGAAGUGACUAGGAAAAGACAAUUUUUUGAAUGGCUUGUAUCUGCAUGAGUGCCUGGACAUUGGUAGACCUACACAUCACAUGAGUUGAGAUGAUUUUUUUCCCAGUGUCCACCGAAACUGAUUCCCAUUAGUUUUGGGUGCUUCAGUCGAGUGAUGAAUCAAUUCCUGAGGGCAAGACCUGCAGGACUGUUACCUUCAGGUGAUUCUUCAUCCUCUCCAGUGGUGGCCUUCUCCUCUGCAUUUCUGACUUCGUGAACAGUGUCUUCCACCUCACCUUGUACCUGAAACCAAGUAACCGCAAGCUUUUUCUUGGUGCUCAGAAUAAUUGUCUUCAAGACAAAUUAUGUAAAGAACAAGUUCAUCAAUUAGGAUAAAAUGUCAACAAAAGGUAUAAAUUAAAUGACUACCUGAGAGCAGCAGUCCAACCUGUUCACUGGCAUCCACCAGCUCUUGCUUUGCCACUUGGUGGCCUCUCUCUGUCUGCUCCAGAGCAGCCCUCAGCUCCUCAAUCUCAGCCAACAUCAGGGCGUUCCUGCGCUCCACCAUGGCUGCCUGCUCCUUCAUGUCAUCCUGUCCUCUGAUUGCAUCAUCAAGGUGCAGUUUGGCAUCCUAAUAAUAAAGAUGUUAUGGAACAAACAGAGGCUGCUGUCUAUAAGCAUAGACUAUAAAUCACUGGCCAUUUUAAGGAAUGGAACACUGGUCACUUUAAUGUUUACAUAUCUUGCAUUACUCAUCUCAUAUGUAUAUACUGUAUUCUAUUCUACUGUAUCUUAGUCCGUUCCGCUCUGACAUCGCUCUUCCAUAUAUGUGUGUGUAUAUAGUCUCAAUUCAUUCCUACUUAGAUUUGUGUGUAUUGGGUAUAUGUUGUGUAGAUAUUACUGCACUGUUGGCGCUAGAAGCACAAGCAUUUCGCAACACCCGCAGUAACAUCUGUUAAUCACGUAUGUGACCGAUUUGAAACGUGGGGAAGUCACAAAGUGAUUGACUUUGUAAACAAAUGUUGAUCAAAAAGCUUACCUUGUCUUUGAGUUGUCCCUGGAAGUACCUUUGCUGUUUCUGCGCCUCAGCAGCUUGGUGGUUGGCAUGACUCAUCUGAAUCUCAAUCUCAUUGAGGUCUCCCUCCAUCUUCUUGACUCUCAGGGUCCAGAUUGCUCUGCAUGGGUUAAUCACCAUCUGGCUGUUCCUCUUGAUCUGUUCCAUCUCCUCAUCCUCCUUUGCAAGCUUUCUGUCGACAUCACCCUUGUCCUGGUUGAGCUCCAGCUGGAAACGAGGAAUCUUGGAUUUAUCAUGUUCCAGAGGUUCCUAUGUAUUACACAAGAAACAAAUUAUAUACAUUUUUCAAGUAAGCUUACUGGGCCUAUUCAUGCAUAUAACUCCUAACCUCAGCUUCCUCCAGAGUAGUCUGGAUCUCUGCCUUAGACUCUGCACUCUUUGUCUGGUCCAGUCAAUGUGCCCCCUCCACAAAAUACAGCUUACAGAUCUUAUUAUAAAUAAUUAUGAUAAAAAGUGGGAUUAAAAAUCCAGUUAAUUAAACAUUUUAAUUUAACGUCUGAAUAAACAGACAAAUCUGAGGGGACACGCGCACUGGUGCCCUUUACUGGCAUGACGCCUCUGAUCUUUACAUAAUUGAAAUCACACGGAUUCAAGAUAACAGUAUAAAACAUACCUGUUAUCAUUUACACAUGCCUUCUUGAAUAUCAAUGUUUAGCUAGCUAGCUACUAAAAAGGAAGCAGGCCAACAACACCCAGAAUUGCGACAUGCACACAUACAUUUCUGUCAAAUCGGAGCUAUUCACCCAAUCAUGAAUCUUUUGGUGUUGCUAUGUUUGACACUGUUGAUCUAUUGGGGAAAGAGAGCAUAUCGAAAUAAAAAAUAUAUUUGGAUGUC
Molecule: long non-coding RNA, 2113 nt
Organism: Oncorhynchus kisutch (coho salmon)
Lineage: Eukaryota; Metazoa; Chordata; Actinopteri; Salmoniformes; Salmonidae
Exons: 4
Source: RefSeq, a predicted model, not a curated record